Molecule: unclassified non-coding RNA, 939 nt
Filed under: Hevea brasiliensis (rubber tree)
Lineage: Eukaryota; Viridiplantae; Streptophyta; Magnoliopsida; Malpighiales; Euphorbiaceae
Source: RNAcentral
CACAAUCGUACGUAGCAAAACCCGAAAAACCCUGGCACCUACUUCCUCUCAAUUCCAACAAAAAAAAAGUUAAACAAGAAGAGCAGAAAUGGAUGUUAAUGGGUCAGCAAUGGAGGUUGAUGUUGUCAAUGUAAGUCCUUGUUUAACCAGCUUUGUUGAUGAUGGUACUGUUGAGAGUCACAGGUACUUCCUUGCACGCAAAACUAUGCUCGAAAUGCUCAAAGAUCGUGGUUUUGCAAUACCCAAUUCUGAAAUCGAAACCACCCUUCAAGAAUUCAGAGAGAAAUAUGGUCAAAGACCUGAUGUUGAGCGCCUCAGAAUCUCCGCCAUGCACAGAACUGACCUUACCAAUAAGGUUUUGGUCAUCUUCUGUGGGCCAAAUUCGGUGAAAAUGAAUGUCAUCCGCAAUAUUUUAUCUCAAAUAAUGAACAAAGAAUCCUUGAGUCGGCUGAUAUUAAUCAUUGAAAAUCCAAUGACUAAUCCAGCUAUGAAGGUUGUGGAGGACUCCCCAUUCAAAACUGAAAUUUUCCAGAUCACAGACUUGCUUGUCAACAUUACAAAACAUGUUUUAAAGCCAAAGCAUGAGUUGUUAACCAACGCUGAGAAGGAGCAGCUAUUGAAGAAGUAUAACUUGGAAGAGAAGCAGCUACCGCGGAUGUCUCAAAAGGAUGCAAUAGCUCGGUACUAUGGAUUGGAGAAAGGGCAAGUUGUGAAGGUCACAUACAACAAUGAGAUCAUUGAGACACAUGCUACUUAUCGCUGUGUCUGGUGAUGCGACUAUGUAAAUCCUAUGUAGCAGUGUUGUUCUGUCGUACGUUGAGCGAGUCUGCAGCAGCCUAAAUGAAGAACUUGUAGUAGUAAUAUGUUAAGUACAUUAUCAUUGUUGCUAUGUAUUUUGUUGUAUAUCCAGAUUGCCUUAACUUCAUACUUUUGGGCUAG